UUCUUUUUCAGACUCUCCCUUCCCCAUUUUCUCUUUCAUUUUCAAUCUCUUUCUAUGUCUCUUUCUCUCUCUCUAUUAAACUAGUAGAAUUCUUCUUCAGAUUUUCUUGCUCCGUUCAUUAUCUUCCUCUUCCACAAAGUAAUUUUGUUGAACAAUCCACACCAGAUCUAUCUUUUGUAGUCCUCUUUUUUUGACAAUUUUCUUCUUCUUCUUCUUCUUUGAACUGGAGUUAGC
This 234-nucleotide long non-coding RNA is filed under the name Nicotiana benthamiana. RNAcentral describes it as "long non-coding RNA (NBEN_LNC005343)". The record is from RNAcentral. Lineage: Eukaryota; Viridiplantae; Streptophyta; Magnoliopsida; Solanales; Solanaceae.